GAGCUUGCUUCCUCAAUCGAGUGGCGAACGGGUGAGUAACGCGUGAGGAACCUGCCUCAAAGAGGGGGACAACAGUUGGAAACGACUGCUAAUACCGCAUAAGCCCACAGGUCGGCAUCGACCAGAGGGAAAAGGAGCAAUCCGCUUUGAGAUGGCCUCGCGUCCGAUUAGCUAGUUGGUGAGGUAAUGGCCCACCAAGGCAACGAUCGGUAGCCGGACUGAGAGGUUGAACGGCCACAUUGGGACUGAGACACGGCCCAGACUCCUACGGGAGGCAGCAGUGGGGAAUAUUGCACAAUGGGGGAAACCCUGAUGCAGCGACGCCGCGUGGAGGAAGAAGGUCUUCGGAUUGUAAACUCCUGUUGUUGAGGAAGAUAAUGACGGUACUCAACAAGGAAGUGACGGCUAACUACGUGCCAGCAGCCGCGGUAAAACGUAGGUCACAAGCGUUGUCCGGAAUUACUGGGUGUAAAGGGAGCGCAGGCGGGAAGACAAGUUGGAAGUGAAAUCUAUGGGCUCAACCCAUAAACUGCUUUCAAAACUGUUUUUCUUGAGUAGUGCAGAGGUAGGCGGAAUUCCCGGUGUAGCGGUGGAAUGCGUAGAUAUCGGGAGGAACACCAGUGGCGAAG
This 629-nucleotide ribosomal RNA is filed under the name uncultured Lachnospiraceae bacterium. Its description in RNAcentral is "bacterial SSU rRNA". It matches the Rfam family "Bacterial small subunit ribosomal RNA", at positions 76 to 720 of the family's 1533-position model. The record is from RNAcentral. Lineage: Bacteria; Bacillati; Bacillota; Clostridia; Lachnospirales; Lachnospiraceae.